GUGCUUGCUUUGGCAGCACAUAUACUAAAAUUGGAACGAUACAGAGAAGAUUAGUAUGUCCCCCGUGCAAGGAUGACAUGCAAAUUGUGAAGCAUUCCAAAUUUUU
This 106-nucleotide small nuclear RNA is filed under the name Physeter macrocephalus (sperm whale). Lineage: Eukaryota; Metazoa; Chordata; Mammalia; Artiodactyla; Physeteridae. The record is from RNAcentral.